Molecule: ribosomal RNA, 1506 nt
Filed under: Lactobacillus crispatus
Lineage: Bacteria; Bacillati; Bacillota; Bacilli; Lactobacillales; Lactobacillaceae
Description: 16S ribosomal RNA
Rfam family: Bacterial small subunit ribosomal RNA
Source: RNAcentral
CUGGCGGCGUGCCUAAUACAUGCAAGUCGAGCGAGCGGAACUAACAGAUUUACUUCGGUAAUGACGUUAGGAAAGCGAGCGGCGGAUGGGUGAGUAACACGUGGGGAACCUGCCCCAUAGUCUGGGAUACCACUUGGAAACAGGUGCUAAUACCGGAUAAGAAAGCAGAUCGCAUGAUCAGCUUUUAAAAGGCGGCGUAAGCUGUCGCUAUGGGAUGGCCCCGCGGUGCAUUAGCUAGUUGGUAAGGUAAAGGCUUACCAAGGCGAUGAUGCAUAGCCGAGUUGAGAGACUGAUCGGCCACAUUGGGACUGAGACACGGCCCAAACUCCUACGGGAGGCAGCAGUAGGGAAUCUUCCACAAUGGACGCAAGUCUGAUGGAGCAACGCCGCGUGAGUGAAGAAGGUUUUCGGAUCGUAAAGCUCUGUUGUUGGUGAAGAAGGAUAGAGGUAGUAACUGGCCUUUAUUUGACGGUAAUCAACCAGAAAGUCACGGCUAACUACGUGCCAGCAGCCGCGGUAAUACGUAGGUGGCAAGCGUUGUCCGGAUUUAUUGGGCGUAAAGCGAGCGCAGGCGGAAGAAUAAGUCUGAUGUGAAAGCCCUCGGCUUAACCGAGGAACUGCAUCGGAAACUGUUUUUCUUGAGUGCAGAAGAGGAGAGUGGAACUCCAUGUGUAGCGGUGGAAUGCGUAGAUAUAUGGAAGAACACCAGUGGCGAAGGCGGCUCUCUGGUCUGCAACUGACGCUGAGGCUCGAAAGCAUGGGUAGCGAACAGGAUUAGAUACCCUGGUAGUCCAUGCCGUAAACGAUGAGUGCUAAGUGUUGGGAGGUUUCCGCCUCUCAGUGCUGCAGCUAACGCAUUAAGCACUCCGCCUGGGGAGUACGACCGCAAGGUUGAAACUCAAAGGAAUUGACGGGGGCCCGCACAAGCGGUGGAGCAUGUGGUUUAAUUCGAAGCAACGCGAAGAACCUUACCAAGUCUUGACAUCUAGUGCCAUUUGUAGAGAUACAAAGUUCCCUUCGGGGACGCUAAGACAGGUGGUGCAUGGCUGUCGUCAGCUCGUGUCGUGAGAUGUUGGGUUAAGUCCCGCAACGAGCGCAACCCUUGUUAUUAGUUGCCAGCAUUAAGUUGGGCACUCUAAUGAGACUGCCGGUGACAAACCGGAGGAAGGUGGGGAUGACGUCAAGUCAUCAUGCCCCUUAUGACCUGGGCUACACACGUGCUACAAUGGGCAGUACAACGAGAAGCGAGCCUGCGAAGGCAAGCGAAUCUCUGAAAGCUGUUCUCAGUUCGGACUGCAGUCUGCAACUCGACUGCACGAAGCUGGAAUCGCUAGUAAUCGCGGAUCAGCACGCCGCGGUGAAUACGUUCCCGGGCCUUGUACACACCGCCCGUCACACCAUGGGAGUCUGCAAUGCCCAAAGCCGGUGGCCUAACUUUCGGGAAGGAGCUGUCUAAGGCAGGGCAGAUGACUGGGGUGAAGUCGUAACAAGGUAACGUAGGAGAAC